Molecule: long non-coding RNA, 352 nt
Organism: Centropristis striata (black sea bass)
Lineage: Eukaryota; Metazoa; Chordata; Actinopteri; Perciformes; Serranidae
Exons: 2
Source: RefSeq, a predicted model, not a curated record
AGACGGCGACAGAAAACCCAGAGUGUUAUGACGCAUCACAACCGCAGCGGAAGAGCUUAAUCACUCUGCCUGGCUUUGAUUUUGUGUUCUCCAGGUGGCUACCGGACGCCGGAACAGCCAAGGCACCAGAGAAACCUGACGCCACAGCAAGUCUCCUCCUCUGGAUCCCAUGUGCUGCAACUGUCCCGGGCUGACAGACUUAGACUUUUUCUUUUAAGAAACAGAGACUUCUCUUUUAAUGGACUUUUAAGUAGCUAGCUUUUUAACCCUCAUUUAGAGAGUUUUCAUUGUUGCAUUGCUGACUCCUGUGUACAAAAAGAACCUUGUAAUAAAUGAUUGUAUUGCACCGCCA